This 253-nucleotide ribosomal RNA is filed under the name uncultured bacterium. RNAcentral's name for it is "partial 16S ribosomal RNA". It matches the Rfam family "Bacterial small subunit ribosomal RNA", at positions 524 to 776 of the family's 1533-position model. The record is from RNAcentral.
UACGGAGGGGGCUAGCGUUGUUCGGAAUUACUGGGCGUAAAGCGCACGUAGGCGGCGGCGUAAGCGGGAUGUGAAAGCCCAGGGCUCAACCCUGGAAGUGCAUCCCGAACUGUGUCGCUUGAAUCUCGGAGGGGGACAGAGAAUUCCCGGUGUAGAGGUGAAAUUCGUAGAUAUCGGGAGGAAUACCAGUGGCGAAGGCGCUGUCCUGGACGAAGAUUGACGCUGAGGUGCGAAAGCGUGGGGAGCAAACAGG